This 727-nucleotide long non-coding RNA is filed under the name Dromaius novaehollandiae (emu). RNAcentral describes it as "lncRNA (ENSDNVG00000002587.1)". Lineage: Eukaryota; Metazoa; Chordata; Aves; Casuariiformes; Dromaiidae. The record is from RNAcentral.
UGAGUCUGUGGUAACGAGUUAAUGUAUUCAUAUUAGAUAUCAGUCRGCUUCUGUUUAGAAAACCUUGUUUCCUACUGAUUUUCUUCUAUUUAUAUUUUUCAUUCUAGAGUUUUUGGAAAAAACAUGCACAUACUUUUAGUACAUACACGAAAAAUGAGCAACAGAGGUUAGUAGACUUGAUUAAUGCUGGUUUUAGAUUUGUGCUCUGUGUCCAUUCAAGGUAUGAAUUAGGCCAAGUAAUACUCUGUGUGAUUGUUCUCUUCCAUAAAAAAGAGAUAACAUUCAUCAGAUGAGAAAAGCUAUCURAUUGUAAAAGUGUAAUUAGUAUCCAUCUAAGUGUCUACGCAUCUACUGCAAUAUUCUGAAGUAAUAAUGACAAUAAUAUUUUUCUGUGCUUUUAAAUACUAAUACACCACAAAUGAAGGGAUGCAUGUUGUGUAUGGAAUGUAGCAUAGUAGUUUGAACUGCAUUUUAUUUCCUUAGAAUUCAGAUUCUUAAAACUUCGUUUGAAAAAAACAUCUACCACACUGUUGAUUACGAGGAACAUAUUUUUACUUCUGAGAUGCAUCUGAUGAAAGAAGACAUGAAAGGACUUCAAGAGAAACUUCUUAAAGAAAUGGUAAAUGAAGUUAUCUUCAUUUUUAUUAUUUUUUAAAUAAGCAUAGAUGUUUGCACGUUGACUUACUAAAAAUUAGUUUCUCAUACACUAUCAAAAGUGCAAGUGAGA